This 496-nucleotide ribosomal RNA is filed under the name uncultured bacterium. RNAcentral describes it as "partial 16S ribosomal RNA". It matches the Rfam family "Bacterial small subunit ribosomal RNA", at positions 29 to 507 of the family's 1533-position model. The record is from RNAcentral.
AUGCACGCUGGCGGCGUGCCUCAUCCAUGCAAGUCGAGCGAACAGAUGAGGAGCUUGCUCCUCUGACGUUAGCGGCGGACGGGUGAGUAACACGUGGAUAACCUACCUAUAAGACUGGGAUAACUUCGGGAAACCGGAGCUAAUACCGGAUAAUAUAUUGAACCGCAUGGUUCAAUAGUGAAAGACGGUUUUGCUGUCACUUAUAGAUGGAUCCGCGCCGCAUUAGCUAGUUGGUAAGGUAACGGCUUACCAAGGCAACGAUGCGUAGCCGACCUGAGAGGGUGAUCGGCCACACUGGAACUGAGACACGGUCCAGACUCCUACGGGAGGCAGCAGUAGGGAAUCUUCCGCAAUGGGCGAAAGCUUGACGGAGCAACGCCGCGUGAGUGAUGAAGGUCUUCGGAUCGUAAAACUCUGUUAUUAGGGAAGAACAAAUGUGUAAGUAACUAUGCACGUCUUGACGGUACCUAAUCAGAAAGCCACGGCUAACUACGUG